RNAcentral lists this ribosomal RNA (504 nucleotides) under uncultured bacterium. Its description in RNAcentral is "bacterial SSU rRNA". It matches the Rfam family "Bacterial small subunit ribosomal RNA", at positions 8 to 525 of the family's 1533-position model. The record is from RNAcentral.
AGAGUUUGAUCCUGGCUCAGGACGAACGCUGGCGGCGUGCUUAACACAUGCAAGUCGAACGGAAAGACCCAGCUUGCUGGGUACUCGAGUGGCGAACGGGUGAGUAACACGUGGGUGAUCUGCCUUGCACUCUGGGAUAAGCCUGGGAAACUGGGUCUAAUACCGGAUAUGACCUCUGACUGCAUGGUUGGGGGUGGAAAGCUUUUGCGGUGUGAGAUGGGCCCGCGGCCUAUCAGCUUGUUGGUGAGGUAAUGGCUCACCAAGGCGACGACGGGUAGCCGACCUGAGAGGGUGAUCGGCCACACUGGGACUGAGACACGGCCCAGACUCCUACGGGAGGCAGCAGUGGGGAAUAUUGCACAAUGGGCGCAAGCCUGAUGCAGCGACGCCGCGUGGGGGAUGACGGCCUUCGGGUUGUAAACUCCUUUCGCCAGGGACGAAGCGCAAGUGACGGUACCUGGAGAAGAAGCACCGGCCAACUACGUGCCAGCAGCCGCGGUAAUA